AGGGUGAUAGUUAAAUAUAACAUCUGAUCUGCAAUUAGAAAGUAUUGAUUAAUCAAUUUACCUU
This 64-nucleotide transfer RNA is filed under the name Eucriotettix oculatus. RNAcentral describes it as "tRNA-Ala". It matches the Rfam family "tRNA". From Rfam's summary of the family: Transfer RNA (tRNA) molecules are approximately 80 nucleotides in length. Their secondary structure includes four short double-helical elements and three loops (D, anti-codon, and T loops). Lineage: Eukaryota; Metazoa; Arthropoda; Insecta; Orthoptera; Tetrigidae. The record is from RNAcentral.